AUUUACAAAGUUAGCAGUUGCUGUAUAAUUGACUAUGCAUACUAGCAUAUGGUUUUAAAUGAGGAAACUUAUUUAUCUAAAUUACACUUUCAACGUAUGCACAUAUAUUAAUUACUGUGUGCGUCAGUGUGCCUAUGCACAUGUUUCGAGUACGGGAGAGCCAAUUCUUUACUCUCUUAUAUUUUCUCUCUCUCACCACCGGUACUCAAUUGUUUUCGUUGUUAUUUCUAUGUGGAACUGUGCUUUAAGAGCGUAUGUAGAUCUCAGUGGCGUUGUUUGCUGCCGUUUCAUCAGCUUGCCCCUUGCCAAGCGUGAGCACUUUGCGGUUAAUCACGAUGACGGGGGCGUUUGCGACGCCAGUUGCGGUUGUUGUGGCCUGUCAAUCGCUGACUUUGCUUUGUAUUCUGCUUUUGUUGAUAAUCGGGAGCGGCGACGCCGACGCUAACGUCGCCGCGUAGUGUUCGCAAUUUAAGUUUUUGGGGCCCGUUGGGCCAGCACUGUUGUCGACGUCACGUCAGUUCAUUGCGUCGGCUUGUACAGCUUGCUAGCGCGUUUUUUUUUCGUGUUCUCGCCAAUUCUCAACACUCUGUGUGCUUGUGUAUAUACAUACAUACAUGUGCAUAUGUAUUAUUUUGUAUGCGUCUAUGUGACUGUAUGACUGUGCAUGUAUGUGUUCUGGCGUUUUGAGUAUGCUUUGUGAUAUUCUUCUCUGUUACUUCUGUCAGUGGUUCUUCUUCUUCUUGCCAGCUUUUUGUUGUUGACGUCGCCGCAUUGUUUUUAUUGCCGUUUCUGUCGUUGCCGUCGUGGCCGCCGCGCAGACCAAAAACUUGAUUGUGAUAUAAUUUGUUAAGUAUUUAUUUAUUUGUAUUUGGCACAAGCGUGCCACGACGGACCCGUUGGUUGCCCCAGUGUAAUUGCAGUUGCAUCCAAGCCACAAGUUCUCGAGGCGGCCGCAAAGCGCCUCUGCUAGAACAACAACUCGCCCAACACCAACCGUAGCUGCCGUACACUCUCCGUCUCCGGCACACUCUCACUUCUCACCUCUCACUUGCCACUGCCACUGUCACUGUCACUGGCCGCACACUGUCUCGCUCACUCACCAUGGUCUACUCCACGAACAUACUGCUGGGCAUUGUGACCAUAUUAACCGCCGUGUUCAUCUGGUCGCGUCGCACCUACGUCUAUUGGCAGCGACGUCGCGUCAAGUUUGUGCAGCCAACGCAUCUGCUGGGCAACCUGAAGAAGGUGCUCAAACUGGAGGAGUCGUUCCCGUUGCAGCUGCGCCGCUUCUAUUUUGACGAGCGCUUCCGCAACGAGCCCGUCGUGGGCAUCUACCUGUUCCAUCAGCCGGCACUGCUCAUACGGGACCUGCAGCUGGUGCGCACCGUUCUAAUCGAGGACUUUGUCAGCUUCUCCAAUCGGUUCGCCAAAUGUGACAUGCGCCACGACAAGAUGGGCUCCCUCAAUCUGUUCUUUGCCAGGCAGCCCGAAUGGCGUGAAAUUCGCACUAGACUCUCGCCGGUCUUCACCGGCGCCAAGAUCAGGCAAAUGUUCUCACUCAUGGAGGAGAUUGGCUGCGAUCUGGAGUGGUAUUUGAAGCGUUUGACGCGUGAUUUGCGACGCGGGGAAGCGUCGCGCGGUGUCAUCGUUAGCAUCAAGGAUGUGUGCGAUCUGUACAAUACGGAUAUGAUAGCGAGCAUCGCAUUUGGAUUGAGAUCGUAUAGCCUGAGGAAUACGCAGUCUGAAAUCGGCUCACAUUGUCAGGACAUAUUCAAGCCGAAUGUGCGUCGAAUAAUAGACUUCUUUGUGAUAUUCUUUCUGCCGAAGCUGGUGCCGCUGAUGCGGUCGAAGCUGUUCACGGAGAUGCACUCGGAGUUCCUGCGCCGCGUCAUCCAAUUGGUGAUCGAGGAGCGCGAACGAGGCGGCGAUCUGCGCAAUGAUCUCAUCGAAAUGCUGCUGACCCUCAAGAAGGAGGCCGAUCUACAGCAGGACAAGACGCACUUUACGCACCAUCAGGACUUUCUGGCCGCCCAGGCGGCCACCUUCGAGGUGGCCGGCAUCGAGACAUGCUCCUCAACGAUGUCCUUCGCCCUAUACGAGCUGGCCAAGCAGCCGCUAAUGCAGGAGCGGCUGCGACGCGAGAUACGGCACACGUUCGCCCUGGCCGCGGCCCAUGGGGACGGGCCGGGACUGAGCUAUGAGCUGAUUGGCGGCAUGCGGUAUCUGGAGAUGGUGGUGGAGGAGACGCUGCGCAAGUAUCCAAUUGUGCCGGUGCUGGAGCGCGAAUGCUCGCCGAUCAACAAGAAACGCUUCUACUCACUGCGCCCGCACGCCGAGUGCUAUGCCCGGCGCGGCAUGCCCGUGUUCAUCUCCAAUCUGGCCAUACACCACGAUCCGCAGUACUGGCCGGAGCCGGAACGCUUCGAUCCGGAGCGCUUCAGUGCCGAGAAUAAACCGAAGCAAACGCCCAUGUCGUAUCUGCCCUUCGGCGCCGGGCCACACAACUGCAUCGGCAUGCACAUUGGCAUGCUGCAGAUUAAGCUCGGCCUCAUCUACUUUCUGCGCCAGCAUCGCGUCGAGUUCUGUGACCGCACCGUGGACCGCAUCAGUUUCGAUGCCAAGUUCGCGCUGCUCGCCAGCGAGCAUCGCAUCUACCUCAGAGUUGUUGACUGUUUAUAGCGCACAAGCGAGCAUCAUCCCAUGACAGGAGCGAUAGAGACCAGGGCAUCAUCCACAGCAUGCAGCAUACCCAGUACACAUCCCCGACGACAUCUGACAUCCGACAUCCGACAUCCGACAUCCACAUUCAAUAUCCAUCAACAUCACAAUAUGGGAUGCAGUUUCCUUCUGCUCAUCUAAAGGCCAUUCGCUCUCAGUUCGGGCCGCCUUGAAAAGCCCUAAAUAUUUGGUGGCCUGAUCGCUGCUAUCGGCUGCCUUUUGGCUAGUGGCACCAGACACAACCACCACGCCCCCCAACAGCCCCCGCCACAGCCAUGCGAGGGUUGCUCGAUGCCAAUACCAAAUUGAAUACCAUUAUGUAUAUACAACACACACAUACAGUUACAUGCAUACAUACACACACUCACACACACACUCACACUCACACACAUACACAUAUUUGUAUAUUUACUUAAAGAAAACUUGAUAGAAUUCUAGUUGAAAGUUCUUGUGCUUUUGCUGGAAAUUGUUCUGAAGGCUGUUUUACCUUAAAAUUCACGAAGAACUGUUACUUUGAAGUUGACUAAGCUAAUUUUUUUUUUUUUUUUUUUUUUU
Molecule: RNA transcript, 3273 nt
Organism: Drosophila mojavensis
Lineage: Eukaryota; Metazoa; Arthropoda; Insecta; Diptera; Drosophilidae
Gene: Cyp6v1
Gene name: probable cytochrome P450 6v1
Exons: 4
Source: RefSeq, a predicted model, not a curated record